RNAcentral lists this ribosomal RNA (254 nucleotides) under uncultured bacterium. RNAcentral describes it as "partial 16S ribosomal RNA". It matches the Rfam family "Bacterial small subunit ribosomal RNA", at positions 524 to 776 of the family's 1533-position model. The record is from RNAcentral.
GACAGAGGGUGCAAACGUUGCUCGGAAUCACUGGGCGUAAAGGGCGUGUAGGCGGGAAGGAAAGUCAGACGCGAAAUCCCUCGGCUUAACCGGGGAACUGCGUCUGAUACUGGAUGGCUUGAGUUUGGGAGAGGGAUGCGGAAUUCCAGGUGUAGCGGUGAAAUGCGUAGAUAUCUGGAGGAACACCGGUGGCGAAGGCGGCAUCCUGGACCAACACUGACGCUGAGUGAGCGAAAGCCAGGGGAGCAAACGGG